AAAACUGAAAACUACACCUUCCAAGAUGCACCACUGUCAAGCCCCUAUGUCCUGCAGCCACGUCUACCGCAGUGAAACUUAACUUUAAAACGAUAUUAUUGACCUAUUUUAUGUAUGUAUCUUAAAAUACAACCACAAUGGGAUGCAUCUGUUAUUUUUAAAAGUUUAGUCAAAGUUCUAAAAUCGGGUUUUGAAUUAUAGGACAAAAUUAACAUUAUUACAUAAAUCAGGAAAAAAAAACUGUUUAAAUCAGAUUAUGUUGUGCCAACUGGUGUAGGAAUCAAUCGUCCAACCGGAAGAAAAUAACGAACGCUUGUUCUUGCUGUGAUAUCAGUUUUUCCUGAAGGAGGUGAGCCGGUGAAGCUUCUGUGGUUGCCAAGUGACGGAGAGCCAAGCAUGCGUGCCACUCCAGCAGUCCCCUGAUGAAGUCGAGGCUUCGUAAAGCCUGUGUCUGUCACAAGCAGUAAUGAUUUUGUUCUGAAACAAAUCAAAAAGCAACGUAUAAGACAUGCAGAUAUCUUUCAGAACUUGAGCAGUAUUUUUUAUUUAAAUACAUCCAGAAAACUGCUUUCUGCAGAUUGCUGUUUAAAUACAAAUGCAUGGUUUCGUAGACUGUUGACUGACGCCAAAUAGGCUUAAAAAGAAAUCCGUUUGCAAAGCAGUCUACUCAACAAUUGGAGGACUGACGGACAAUCUCGCCAUUAGAAAGAAAUGUUCUUGGGAUUGCCUUUAAAUUCUCAACCCUCUACAAUGUUUCAUUAAUUCGAAUCCUGUAAACUGGAAAUGUAUUUGGUCUGGCAUAAACAGCAAUUGCACAACAAUAAAAGAGGACAGGACUGCUUCGGAGCCCAUCAGGACUGCCUGAUUUCAGGUUAAAGCUUCCCGCAGACAAGUUAGUUUUUUUGUAUUUCUAAAAAAGACAUUCCCAGGUUGUUGAAUAUGAAAAUGGAAAUGUGUUGGGGUUCAAACAAUGCUUUAGAUCCCCUCCUGUGGGGAAGAUCUUCAACUUUAAUGUGCUGGUCAUGGCACUAAGAAACCCAUAAUGAUAAAAGACAUUCUUACAAAAUCCCUUUUAACUAUUUCUAGAGUUUUUUUUAUUGUAUUUAUGUAAAAUAAUAGAUACAGUAAAAUCUCUUUCAUCUAAACUGCUCAGUAGACAUGAAAAUAGUUUGGGGAUUUGGAUAAAGAGGACUUCACAUAGAAACUAUAGUGCUGCAACAUUGUUUUUUCUAUAAACUAAUAAUCAGCUGUAUUGAGUGAAAAUCACUAAAAUCACUUACAGUUUUACCCAAGUUUUGUUUCUCCUAAAAUAAAAUAAAUAAAUAAAAAAGAUUAAAUGGAAACAAAUUUUAAAAUAUUGGAAACUCGAAAACUUUGUAGACUGCUGAGUCUUUUUCUAUUCUGCUAUGUAAAUCAGCUUUUAGGCCUACUUAUGUCACAAGUGACCAAAAUUGGUGUAUGGGGGAAACACGUUUUUUUUUUUUUUUUUUUUUUUUAAAUUUUGUCACUUAUUAUUUGUUUCACUGUUAUAAUUGUGUUUUGAUUGAUUUUUGUUGUGAUUAUUUUUACCCCUUUUGAUUUAUGAGGGAGAAGCAGCCCACUGUUUGGAGUGGUGUUUUUUUCCACUUUGUUUGUAUUACAGCACAGGCACUUAAAUAGGUAAAUUGGCCACAAACUGGCAGACCAUACACAGCUGAAACUAUCUAGCCAUUAACAUCUUACCUACCCUAAAUAAACUGCUACUUCGAUGCACUGGGUGCGCAGGAAGAGGGGAAACCACCAGAAGGAGCGGGGGUGAUCCAGCAACUACAGGGAAGGAUUGUGGAACCAGUCAAAAGCAGACGGGAGAUUAAAAGAAGGACCUGUGAUUGUGAAUGGAGAAAUGGAUAAUUACAUGAUAUAUGGGAAGUACUCGUUUCUUUGAUUUUUCAUGUUUUCAUGUUACAAACAGUUUGCGGAAGAACUAGUGUUUAACUUAUAAGCAUAUUAUAGUGACCCGGCCAACUGAAGGGCUGUUGGACUUUUUUGAUGGUCCUGUUCAGACAACGCAACCUAGUUAGGGGGAAUGUGCGUGCGUGUGUGCAUGCAAGGGAGAGCUGCAAUUGGCCGGUCUGGAAGGACGCAGGAGAAGCAGGGCAGUAUAAAUACCUGGGACGCGGGGAACGCAGGGGGAGAGAGUGCGAGAUAGUGUGAGAGACGGGUGAUAAAAUUGACUGACAGAGGAACGGUGUGAGAAGCUGACAUGCCUUACCUGUGGUGCGAUUGAUGGGUGUGAGAGAGAGGUUAGGAGCGUGUGUUAUGGUCGGAGAGUGUGUAAGGAAUGAGGAAAACUACAGUUAGCUAGCUACAGGGGAUUUGUUGUUUUGGUGGUGUGGUCCUGGCCCAGAUACGUACUGUGAGAGAUAUUGAGUUUUUCUGAAGAAUAAACUGCUGUCAUUUAGCCCUGAAAAUCUUGUUUCCAGUGUCAUCCAUCCUGCAGGAAGCUCGGGUUGUCACAAUAUGUUGUGCUGAACGUAAAACAGUGCUAUGCCAGUUACACUUGAACAAAUAGCUUAUGAUGAAGUGUAAUCUACAUGAUUAAAUGAAGUACCUUUCAGGAGGGCUACGGAGAUUGGAAAUGAAUAGCGUAUAGAAUAACAGAAGGCGGAGUUAAACACAGUGAAAUUCCUUCUGUAUACUUUUGUUGAUGUGCUGGGACUGCAUGUACAGGAUUGUAUAUUUAAACCUGAUUCUUUUGCCGUUUUGGGUGAUUGUUUCCACAGGUACCCGGGCCGAGGAUUUUGUGGGGUAUCCAAAAAGACUUCGAGACGAUCGUGUAACGGGACCAAUCUAAUCCACUGUACACCAGCCCCUCGGUUCUGACGGGUGCCUGUUCGGAGAAGCGAGCGAGAGAGGCGUGUAAAAUUAAAAAAAGAAUAAGUACGAUCAGUGAAGGCUACUGCCCAGCCUGAUCACAGUAUUUUGUGUUUUGUUAUUUUGUUUUAUUUAAAACCUUAAUUUUGCUUUGUGAGCAAGUGUUUUUGUUUGAAUAUUUUAUUUAUUUUUGUUGUUUAAAAAUAAAAUGGCGCAAGCGCCAUUGCACCAUA
Acipenser ruthenus (sterlet) is the source of this 3086-nucleotide long non-coding RNA. RefSeq lists it as uncharacterized. The record is from RefSeq and is a predicted model, not a curated record. NCBI's taxonomy places the organism in Eukaryota, Metazoa, Chordata, Actinopteri, Acipenseriformes, Acipenseridae. The transcript has 2 exons.